RNAcentral lists this ribosomal RNA (473 nucleotides) under uncultured bacterium. RNAcentral's name for it is "bacterial SSU rRNA". It matches the Rfam family "Bacterial small subunit ribosomal RNA", at positions 32 to 513 of the family's 1533-position model. The record is from RNAcentral.
AAUCAACGCUGGCGGCGUGCCUCAGACAUGCAAGUCGAACGAUUAAAGCUCUCUUCGGAGAGUGUAUAGAGUGGCGCACGGGUGAGCAACACGUAAGUAAUCUACCCUCGAGUGGGGAAUAACAACCGGAAACGGUUGCUAAUACCGCAUAAUGCAGCGGCACCGCAAGGUGACAGUUGUUAAAGAUUUAUCGCUUGAGGAGGAGCUUGCGGCAGAUUAGCUAGUUGGUAGGGUAACGGCUUACCAAGGCUACGAUCUGUAACCGGUCUAAGAGGACGGUCGGUCACACUGACACUGAAUAACGGGUCAGACUCCUACGGGAGGCAGCAGUCGGGAAUUUUGGGCGAAUGGGCGAAAGACCUGACCCAGCAACGCCGCGUGAAGGAUGAAGUAUUUCGGUAUGUAAACUUCGAAAGAAAUAGGAAGAAUUAAUGACGGUACUAUUAUAAGGUCCGGCUAACUACGUGCCAGCA